Molecule: non-coding RNA, 113 nt
Organism: Podarcis lilfordi (Lilford's wall lizard)
Lineage: Eukaryota; Metazoa; Chordata; Lepidosauria; Squamata; Lacertidae
Source: the annotation of a GenBank genome assembly
UUCCCCUCGAAAACCCACUCUUUAAAGCUCAAUUGGAACAAACGUCAAUUUGUGGGAAACCUAAAGUGACGUUUGCUCCAAUUCAGCUUUAAAGAGCAGGUUUUCGAGAGGAA